RNAcentral lists this ribosomal RNA (311 nucleotides) under Streptocephalus texanus. RNAcentral describes it as "partial 12S ribosomal RNA". Lineage: Eukaryota; Metazoa; Arthropoda; Branchiopoda; Anostraca; Streptocephalidae. The record is from RNAcentral.
GGGUAGUAAUCUUGAAACCUAAAGAAUUUGGCGGUUUUUAANCUUACUAGAGGAACCUGUCCUGUAAUCGAUAGUCCACGAACUAAUUUACCUAUUUUUGUCAUCAGCUUAUAUACCGCCGUUUAGUGAAUUAAAUAAAUAAUUUCUCUUAAUUAAUUAGUUAAGAAAAUCAGGUCAAGGUGUAGUUAAUAAAUAGGAAGAGAUGGGUUACAAUAAUAUUUUAUAACGAAUUAUAUACCUUAGGGUUAAUAGAAGGUGGAUUUAGAAGUAAAUUUUAUUAUCUUGAAGCAAGCUCUUAAAAAUGUACACAU